Molecule: ribosomal RNA, 2618 nt
Filed under: Triticum aestivum (bread wheat)
Lineage: Eukaryota; Viridiplantae; Streptophyta; Magnoliopsida; Poales; Poaceae
Description: partial small subunit ribosomal RNA
Source: RNAcentral
GUCCAUCCCGACGCAGAGAGGGAGCGUAGAGAGAGAGCACAACGGCGGCGGCGGGGGAGGGGAAGAGAAGCAACGGAAGGGAGCGCGGCGGCGGGAGGCUCUUCGUUGUGCCGGUGAUGACGAGGCGCAGCCCGGCUCGAACGGUGGCGGCGGCGAGAGGGGCAGCACGAGCAAGGAGUGGUGGCCGGGAGCCCAACACCUCCCCGUUGCCCAUCGCCACCUUCUCCUCUAGCUGGUGGUUGACGACGGCGGGCAGGAGGACGAAGCGGUAGUUGCCCUCCUCCUGGCCUCGCACAGGAGUUCAAGCACGAGGAGGCCCUUCUCCCGUUUGGCUCUCUGCUCGUGCGCUACGCAACGAGAAGACCACCCGAAGACUGCUAAACUUAGAGUCUCGGUCCGUUCACACCCUUGUUCCUCUACUCAAAGCACCUCUGCCACUCGUCCUGCCUCUGUUCCUACCGCUGAACUACGAGGAACCUCUGCAGGAGACCUCCACUAAAAAAAGACCCGGAAAACAAAUGAUAUAUAGUUAACCUAGGCGUACGUCGACGAUAAGCACAACAACAAGUCGAUACAGUACAACAAAUCCAAGUAUAUAUGUGAUGAAUUAAUCCAAGUACUCUACCAAGUGACAACCUGACCCACGGUACCCUAGAGUCCAAUACCUUAAACCCCACAAAACCAACAGACUACGAAAAUCAAAGUUGAAUUGAAACGAAAUCUUUGCCAGUUGACCUGUAUUGUUGACAAACAUAUAAUCACUUUAUAUGCCUCACCCCUAGAGAAACAAUAACACCGUCGACAACCUAACCCACAAUACCGUAGACCACUAGCCUACGUCAAUCAGAACCGAACAAAAACGAACUAUUCACUGACUAAACCCAAACUACCUAUCAAAAUGAUAACCGUCAUAUAUGCCUUACACCUAGAGACCCAACAGUAGAGUCCAAGUCUACAAAACCUACAAACCAACUAGACUGCGACAAUCAAAGCCGAAUAGAAACGAGGUUUUUAACCGUCAUAUAUUGCGGGAGUGGGGACGAAUAGAGCGGAUUGAGUAAGGAAGAAAUAACGUGAGCUCCUAGCAACCACGCACGAGGGGGACAAUGUGCCGCGAAUCCUCUUCCUCUCCGAACCAGAGGUGGUUUUUUUCUGCUCCUUCUUCACUCUACGACGAUCGGGGAACCGGACGACGUAGAGGUUAGCCGCGAACGUUGUCCUCUUGGUGUAGGGACCGGAGAGGUACGGGGGGGGGGAGGGGGGGUUCGCGGUUGGACAUCCGAUGUUGCUGUUCCACUCCGCCCGGGGAUGAGUCUUUUUUGUCCAAGUCCUCCACAAAUAGGAUAUAUACUAAGUCAUUGAACGUGAGAUUAGAGUAAACAGAAGAAGAGUAACCCGUACCACAGAAAUCCAAUAGUUUCCCUUAACUUAUACCGACAACUGUUAAGUCUAACACCCGUCGAUUCUCAAAUCUUAAUGAGUACAUUUAAAAACGAAUAUUUAUUAUAUUACUGCGUCAUCAUCGGGGAGGAUAGAAAACAGUUGUUACCACACUAUGAUUCUAAAAGUGACGUCAUCGUAGGCAUAGGUUACAUUGAGCCGAUAUCCAAUAGGUUUCAUUACUACAGAUAAUGAGACCAACUAAACGUUAUACCACAACACCUGGGUACACGUGGACUCGAAACGAUGAAAGAGAUUAAUGGUACUUUAAACAUGUGUACUCGUAAGGAUACGGUAACAGUUCACGAUGAGGUUUGUGGUAAAUGACGAAAUUUUAUAGAGAGUUGAACCUAUCUCGUAGGACUUUCCAGUUCUAAACGAGUUGUACUAAAAAAAAUGAUACUCCUCGGAAUGAAGAUCGUGACCCAAAACUAACAGACAACAAAACAUGUAGAAAAUAGAUAUACUAAAAUUAGAAUUCUUUCUCGUAUAAGACCUGAGUGUUGUUUAACCUAUCUCGUAGGACGUUCCAGAGACUACACGUCUACUAUAAAGUCACGAGCUACACGUCGAAUAAAACAGCUGUAGCGCCAAUGUCAAACGUUAUAAUCUGGAUGAACAUAGUUCCCCUUUUAAGAUUAAAGAAAUGUCGCCACAAACUUGUUUUACCGUAUAAGGCACCCGACCUAUUCGAGUCACUAUAGUCAGGGGAAAAUUUAACUUGUUUUACCGUAUAACGACCCCACACCUACCCUAUAAAGCAACCAGUAUAUAUUCAACCAGUAUCAGGGGAAAGGUUUAGACGUCUUUUACCGUAUAAGGCAACCAGUAUCAGGAGAAAACGUCUUUUAAGAUUAAAGAAAUGGUGCCACAAACUUGUUAUCAAUUCGAGUCACUACUGAAUGGUAUAUUAAUCCAACACAGGGAAUCGUCUACAGUGUGUACAGGGAAAACAACAUAGGUACUCACGUUAGAAACGUCGAUUUCGGAAGUACUACCAAGGGCGUACAAGGUACGUUUACAAACCGUUACUCAUGAGAACUAUAAACAUUUAUAUUAUACCUCAACUCGUACUUUCCUACGUAAUCUAGUGAUAUUAAAUGUUACAAUAUUGGUAACGAUGUUUUUCGUAAUAAAAGCGAAUGAACAUCAAAGAUCAAAUUUAGAAAGUGAGGAUG